UACUCAAGCAUGAUUACUUACAUACUAUUU
Molecule: non-coding RNA, 30 nt
Filed under: Rattus norvegicus (Norway rat)
Lineage: Eukaryota; Metazoa; Chordata; Mammalia; Rodentia; Muridae
Source: RNAcentral